RNAcentral lists this long non-coding RNA (780 nucleotides) under Onthophagus taurus. RNAcentral describes it as "uncharacterized LOC111419183, transcript variant X1". Lineage: Eukaryota; Metazoa; Arthropoda; Insecta; Coleoptera; Scarabaeidae. The record is from RNAcentral.
ACUCAUUCAUUAAAAAACUCGUUAUAAACAAGUUUGUGGUUAUGAUUGUUUUCGUUGAUUUUUGUGGCGAAAAAUGGGUUUAUUUCACCCCCUUUAUACAUAUACAUAUAAAAAAAGUUGUUUUUAAUAAGAAUUGGGUCAAUUAGGAGAUCUUAAAUAGUGGAGGAGUAAAAUAUGGUGAAAAUUGAGAAAAAAUUUUAAGGUUAAGAAAGAAGAAUUUAUCUUUGCAAAUUAAGUCGGAUAAAGAAAAUGGAGCAACUUUUUUCUUGUGUAUUUCGAAGAAUCUUUAGAAGAAAAUUAAUUGAAGAAUUAAGAUGAAGAAAAGAACGUUUAAUUUUAUGGAAAACAACAUUAAAACAAGGUUGGUAGCCCUUCAGAUCAGCUGUCAUGUCAUCCCUUUAGUUUAUUUCUAUCUUGUCAUUGUUAAAUUUGUGUUGGUUUUUAUAUUUUUCAUCAUUUCGCCGCUUUAUUUUAUUUAAACGCUGCAUAUUUUAAUCGGAGUUACUUACUUUGAAGUAUUUCGAAGAAUCUUUAAAAGAAAAUUAAUUGAAGAAAUAAUUUUAUGGAAAUCAACAUUAAAGCAAGAAACACCUGUAUAAGGAGCUCUUGGUGCCAACAUUAAAGAAUUCCAUGGAAAAGUUUCUUGGAUUUACUGGAUUUUCUAAUAAUUAUUAUUAAUUUAAUGUAAUUUUGCAAUCAGCAACACAAUAUACGACUGUGUAUGCUUGGUUGCAUAUUUCAUAAAUAAGAAAAUUAAUAAAAUGUAUUGUUAAAUAUUAA